This 301-nucleotide ribosomal RNA is filed under the name uncultured bacterium. RNAcentral's name for it is "partial 16S ribosomal RNA". It matches the Rfam family "Bacterial small subunit ribosomal RNA", at positions 509 to 807 of the family's 1533-position model. The record is from RNAcentral.
CAGCAGCCGCGGUAAAACGUAGGGUGCAAGCGUUAAUCGGAAUUACUGGGCGUAAAGCGUGCGCAGGCGGUUUGUUAAGACAGAUGUGAAAUCCCCGGGCUCAACCUGGGAACUGCAUUUGUGACUGGCAGGCUAGAGUAUGGCAGAGGGGGGUGGAAUUCCGCGUGUAGCAGUGAAAUGCGUAGAUAUGCGGAGGAACACCGAUGGCGAAGGCAGCCCCCUGGGCCAAUACUGACGCUCACGCACGAAAGCGUGGGGAGCAAACAGGAUUAGAUACCCGUGUAGUCCCUGUCUCUUAUAC